AUACGUAGGUGGCGAGCGUUGUUCGGAUUUAUUGGGCGUAAAGGGUCCGCAGGGGGUUGAUUAAGUCUGAUGUGAAAUCCCUGAGCUUAACUCAGGAACUGCAUUGGAGACUGGUUGACUAGAGUAUUGGAGAGGUGAUUGGAAUUCCAGGUGUAGCGGUGGAAUGCGUAGAUAUCUGGAAGAACAUCGAAAGCGAAGGCAGAUCACUGGACAAUUACUGACCCUCAGGGACGAAAGCAUGGGGAGC
RNAcentral lists this ribosomal RNA (247 nucleotides) under uncultured bacterium. RNAcentral's name for it is "partial 16S ribosomal RNA". It matches the Rfam family "Bacterial small subunit ribosomal RNA", at positions 523 to 769 of the family's 1533-position model. The record is from RNAcentral.